GGCCAGACUCCUACGGGAGGCAGCAGUGGGGAAUAUUGCACAAUGGGGGAAGCCCUGAUGCAGCGACGCCGCGUGAGUGAAGAAGUAUUUCGGUACGUAAAGCUCUAUCAGCAGGGAAGAAAAAAAGUCCUUUGGACUUUGGACGGUACCUGACCAAGAAGCCCCGGCUAACUACGUGCCAGCAGCCGCGGUAAUACGUAGGGGGCAAGCGUUAUCCGGAUUUACUGGGUGUAAAGGGAGCGUAGACGGUGCAGCAAGUCUGAUGUGAAAGGUCGGGGCCCAACCCCGGGACUGCAUUGGAAACUGUUGAACUGGAGUACAGGAGAGGUAAGCGGAAUUCCUAGUGUAGCGGUGAAAUGCGUAGAUAUUAGGAGGAACACCAGUGGCGAAGGCGGCUUACUGGACUGUAACUGACGUUGAGGCUCGAAAGCGUGGGGAGCAAACAGGAUUAGAUACCCCUGUAC
This 464-nucleotide ribosomal RNA is filed under the name uncultured bacterium. RNAcentral's name for it is "bacterial SSU rRNA". It matches the Rfam family "Bacterial small subunit ribosomal RNA", at positions 329 to 793 of the family's 1533-position model. The record is from RNAcentral.